ACGAGGGGUGCAAGCGUUAAUCGGAAUUACUGGGCGUAAAGCGAGCGUAGGCGGCUGAAUAAGCUGGAUGUGAAAAACCGGGGCUCAACCUCGGCCGUGCAUUCAGAACUGUUUAGCUAGAGUCUUGUAGAGGGGGGUAGAAUUUCAGGUGUAGCGGUGAAAUGCGUAGAGAUCUGAAGGAAUACCAGUGGCGAAGGCGGCCCCCUGGACAAUGACUGACGCUGAGGUUCGAAAGCGUGGGUAGCGAACAGG
Molecule: ribosomal RNA, 252 nt
Filed under: uncultured bacterium
Lineage: Bacteria
Description: partial 16S ribosomal RNA
Rfam family: Bacterial small subunit ribosomal RNA
Source: RNAcentral